AAAUGAAUUGACGGGGGCCCGCACAAGCAGUGGAGUAUGUGGUUUAAUUCGAAGCAACGCGAAGAACCUUACCAGGUCUUGACAUCCCUUGAAUAGCAUAGAAAUAUGUUAGUCCUUCGGGACAAGGAGACAGGUGGUGCAUGGUUGUCGUCAGCUCGUGUCGUGAGAUGUUGGGUUAAGUCCCGCAACGAGCGCAACCCUUGCUGCCAGUUGCCAGCAUGUAAUGAUGGGCACUCUGGCAGGACUGCCGGUGAUAAAUCGGAGGAAGGUGGGGAUGACGUCAAAUCAUCAUGCCCUUUAUGAUCUGGGCUACACACGUACUACAAUGGCCGUUACAAAGGGAAGCAAAAUGGUAACAUGGAGCAAAUCCCCAAAAACGGUCCCAGUUCGGAUUGUGGGCUGAAACCCGCCCACAUGAAGUCGGAAUUGCUAGUAAUUGCAGGUCAGCAUACUGCAGUGAAUACGUUCCCGGGCCUUGUACACACCGCCCGU
This 492-nucleotide ribosomal RNA is filed under the name uncultured bacterium. Its description in RNAcentral is "bacterial SSU rRNA". It matches the Rfam family "Bacterial small subunit ribosomal RNA", at positions 903 to 1397 of the family's 1533-position model. The record is from RNAcentral.